Molecule: ribosomal RNA, 493 nt
Filed under: uncultured bacterium
Lineage: Bacteria
Description: partial 16S ribosomal RNA
Rfam family: Bacterial small subunit ribosomal RNA
Source: RNAcentral
AUUGAACGCUGGCGGCAUGCUUUACACAUGCAAGUCGAACGGUAACAGGUUAAGCUGACGAGUGGCGAACGGGUGAGUAAUGCAUCGGAACGUGCCCGAUCGUGGGGGAUAACGCAGCGAAAGCUGCGCUAAUACCGCAUACGAUCUGAGGAUGAAAGCGGGGGACCGUAAGGCCUCGCGCGAUCGGAGCGGCCGAUGUCAGAUUAGGUAGUUGGGGGGGUAAAGGCCCACCAAGCCGACGAUCUGUAGCUGGUCUGAGAGGCCGACCAGCCACACUGGGACGGAGACACGGCCCAGACUCCUACGGGAGGCAGCGGUGGGGAAUUUUGGACAAUGGGCGAAAGCCUGAUCCAGCAAUGCCGCGUGCAGGAAGAAGGCCUUCGGGUUGUAAACUGCUUUUGUACGGAGCGAAAAGGUCCUUUCUAAUACAAGGGGCUCAUGACGGUACCGUAAGAAUAAGCACCGGCUAACUACGUGCCAGCCGCCGCGGUAA